Molecule: long non-coding RNA, 297 nt
Organism: Alosa alosa (allis shad)
Lineage: Eukaryota; Metazoa; Chordata; Actinopteri; Clupeiformes; Clupeidae
Exons: 4
Source: RefSeq, a predicted model, not a curated record
CCUUGCAACAUUGAGACUACCGUCCCGGAAAGAGAACCUGGGUUCCCUUCAAGGCCACAGACCCUCAAAUGUGUGAUGUUGUGCGUCUGAAAGUGUGUGACGAGGUCGCCCGGAUCCUCUGCAAACCAAACGGACACACUGCUGUAAAGAAGCACAAGAAAAUACUGCAAAGAUGCUUCCUUCCAGCAGAGCCGGGUGACAUGACUGAUUAUCAUCAAGGGAAGCCCAACCUCUGGCGUAGCAGUAGGCAGCUCUUUGGAUGGUAGCAUCUGUCACCACUAGUUUCUACAAUCUAAA